Molecule: ribosomal RNA, 460 nt
Filed under: uncultured bacterium
Lineage: Bacteria
Description: partial 16S ribosomal RNA
Rfam family: Bacterial small subunit ribosomal RNA
Source: RNAcentral
CCUACGGGUGGCAGCAGUGAGGAAUAUUGGUCAAUGGACGAGAGUCUGAACCAGCCAAGUAGCGUGAAGGAUGACUGCCCUAUGGGUUGUAAACUUCUUUUAUAAAGGAAUAAAACGAGGCACGUGUGCCUUUUUGCAUGUACUUUAUGAAUAAGGAUCGGCUAACUCCGUGCCAGCAGCCGCGGUAAUACGGAGGAGCCGAGCGUUAUCCGGAUUUAUUGGGUUUAAAGGGAGCGUAGAUGGGUUGUUAAGUCAGUUGUGAAAGUUUGCGGCUCAACCGUAAAAUUGCAAUUGAUACUGGCAGUCGUGAGUACAGUUGAGGUAGGCGGAAUUCGUGGUGUAGCGGUGAAAUGCUUAGAUAGCACGAAGAACCCCGAUUGCGAAGGCAGCUUACUAAACUGUGACUGACAUUGAUGCUCGAAAGUGUGGGUAUCAAACAGGAUUAGAUACCCUAGUAGUC